Molecule: non-coding RNA, 147 nt
Organism: Caenorhabditis elegans
Lineage: Eukaryota; Metazoa; Nematoda; Chromadorea; Rhabditida; Rhabditidae
Source: Ensembl
CAUCUAUCUUGGAACGUGGGACAUCAUGAAACAAUACUCGUGUCACGAUGAGCACCUGAUAGGUGCGAAUGACACCUUAUUGAGACCAGUGUCCUUUUUAUUGUUCAACAUGAUUCUAGAAUAGGCGUGAUAAAAAGGAGAGGUCAA